UACCCUGGAAUUAAGGAAAUGGAUUAGCAAAGCCCUAACUAGUUAAUUGAGUAUUAUUGUAGAAUUAUAUUAUAUUAUAAUUUAUUAUAUGCGAAUUAAUAUGAGAAAUGACAUGUUAAGACCCCGUUGGUGAGUUAGGGGUAUUUUAGUAAUUUUGACCCGAGAAGGGUAAAACUGUGAAUUUAAUUUAUUUAUGUGCUUAUGAACUAUAUUAUUAUAUAGUAUAUCUGGUGUGUCCUUUUUCAUGUGUGUUCUGACAAGUUGGCGCGGUAUAGUCACAAUCGGGUAUUUCGGGCCGAACCGGGUUCGGGGCCGAAAUAUAAUUUUGGGAUAAAUUAUUGGCAUUUUAUUUAUGUGUGAAUAAUCUGAAAUUAUUUAAAUAUGUGUUAUAGAUGAAAUGAAUUCAAUGCCCUUGAUUGUUUGAGUAUGUGAGAAAUGGCCCUAGGGGCAAAAUGGUAAAUAUGUAUUUUGGAUUUAUUUUCAACUAAAGGCAUUCUUUGUAAAAAAAUGAAAUUCAUUUCUGCAUUUACCUUAACUCUAAAACAGCCCCCUUCCCCCCCUCUCUCUCUCUCUCUCUCUCUCUCUCUCUCUCUCUCUCUCUCUCUCUCUCUCUCUCUCUCUCUCUCUCUCUCUUUGUAUUUGGUUGAAAAAUUGGUGAUUUGUUUGGUAUUCAAGCUUGAAAUUGAAGAAUUGUUUGAGUUGUGGCUUGAUCAUUGCAUUGAAGCUUGAGGAAAGGGUAAAUCUAUCUCUGAUCAGCCAUGAGUAUGGGAGUUGGGCGAUGUAUGUACAUGUUCGGGCCACACUAGACCAAGCGGGUUGGGGUCUACCAGCGUUGAAACUUUUGUAACUCUAUUUUUGCCGCUUAGGUCGGCUAAGGAGAAAAGACUUGUAAUAUUUUGUAAAAUAAUUUUUUUGGGAUCCCGAAACAUGUAACUUUUGUUUGUAAGGUGAAAAUUAUUACAAGUUUAUUUUCAUUC
Cannabis sativa is the source of this 977-nucleotide long non-coding RNA. RefSeq lists it as uncharacterized. NCBI's taxonomy places the organism in Eukaryota, Viridiplantae, Streptophyta, Magnoliopsida, Rosales, Cannabaceae. The transcript is spliced from 2 exons. The record is from RefSeq and is a predicted model, not a curated record.